Molecule: ribosomal RNA, 486 nt
Filed under: uncultured bacterium
Lineage: Bacteria
Description: partial 16S ribosomal RNA
Rfam family: Bacterial small subunit ribosomal RNA
Source: RNAcentral
AUUGAACGCUGGCGGCAUGCCUUACACAUGCAAGUCGAACGGCAGCACGGGUGCUUGCCCCUGGUGGCGAGUGGCGAACGGGUGAGUAAUACAUCGGAACAUGUCCUGUAGUGGGGGAUAGCCCGGCGAAAGCCGGAUUAAUACCGCAUACGAACCCCGGAUGAAAGCGGGGGCCCUUCGGGCCUCGCGCUAUAGGGUUGGCCGAUGGCUGAUUAGCUAGUUGGUGGGGUAAAGGCCUACCAAGGCGACGAUCAGUAGCUGGUCUGAGAGGACGACCAGCCACACUGGGACUGAGACACGGCCCAGACUCCUACGGGAGGCAGCAGUGGGGAAUUUUGGACAAUGGGCGAAAGCCUGAUCCAGCAAUGCCGCGUGUGUGAAGAAGGCCUUCGGGUUGUAAAGCACUUUUGUCCGGAAAGAAAUCCUUGGCUCUAAUACAGUCGGGGGAUGACGGUACCGGAAGAAUAAGCACCGGCUAACUACGUG